GCACAGUCACGAGAGCCAGAAUCCAAGGAAGUGUCCCUGCAUGGCACUGAGCACCUUGGGCAAACACAGAAAGCUUUUGUUUGGCUUUCCCUGAGACUUCACUGAGGCUUUGAUCUUGUCUGCUGUCACCAGUGCAAACCCUUUCUAUUAUGGGUGGUGCUCUUCCAUCUGCUUUUUGCUGCACUGUUGUGGAGUGCUUAUGACAUCUAAGGACAGUGACCAAAUGGCAGGAAAGCUGUUAAAUCAUUGAAUGCUCAGUUGUGCUUUCUGUCCUGUAAAGGACUUCUCUGGAGACAACACAGCGUGGACACAAAAUAAGGUAAUUUUCUAGAUUCUUGAGAGUGCACCACAAUUCCUGUUUCAUAAGGAUGCCUGGGAAAAGAGACUAAAACAUUUAAACUAUACAUGAAAGAAGUGUAGCUCGUCUUUGUGUUACAGAGAUGCUUUUUCUGUCCUUGUUUUCUUAGAUAUGGGUGAUUUUUCACAAAGAGCUUCUGAGUUCUCCUGUUUGUGCUCUUGUGGCCCCAAUGGAAAUUGGGUUUUGGAAAUUGAUAGUGUGAUGGACAAGACUUGGCUGGACCUGGUAUGAUGCUGUAUUCAUAAAGGGUUUGUCUUGCUACUCUUCUGUGUCCUUUGUACGUGCAUGUAUGAACACUUAAACAGCACAAGGAUUUUGAACUCAUGGGCACCUGAGAUAAUUACAAAAUUGAGAACUCUUAGCAGGAGGGAACUGGCUCGGGUACAGUCUCACUGAUGACUUUCAGAAUUGGUCUCUGUUGACAUCUUGAUAAAACACAAGCUACAGACAGCUGCCUUUUCUGUGUUUUAGCCUAGUUCUGGUUCCUGUCCAAUAUGCAGGUUAUCUCAUGGUUUUCAGCAGUAACUGUGGUUGCAAUAGAAACGCACCUGAGUUGAACUGCUGGAAGUCUCUCUGUAGCAACAGAAAGCACAGGGGAGCUGACUUGCUGACAGCAUCAUAGACACUUCUGGCAGAACAUAUGCAGGUGUCAGUGAUGCUGGGAGAGUGAACUUGGCUGCUUGGAAGAGCCCUCUUUGGGCUCCAUGGGUAUGGAGGAGGAGCUGAGGAAGUGAGUGACUUCCCCCCCGCUCAGCAGAAUGAAGGGACACUCCUGGUGCUUGGAGGAGCGGGUGGCAGGGUCUUGUAUUACAACCUAGGGGGAACGAGCUUGGAUGUUUCCCUAUUCCCAUGAAAGAUCUAUUUUGUGGAACCUUACAAAAGUAUGAUACGAGUGGUUAUUGGGCUGGUGAAAGGUGCUGCUUCUAGAACCUGAAGGGACAAUGCACAAAAGAUGGUGGCGUUUCUUGGCGGAUGUACUUACAACUUGGGAGAAAAGAAGUGACAACCUUGAAGCCAAGGUGGCAACAGCUGAAUGAUCUGUGCUGUUUCUCCAGAGGCAGCUACAUUUUAAGACCAGCAAAAGAG
Passer domesticus (house sparrow) is the source of this 1444-nucleotide long non-coding RNA. RefSeq lists it as uncharacterized. The transcript is spliced from 5 exons. The record is from RefSeq and is a predicted model, not a curated record. Lineage: Eukaryota; Metazoa; Chordata; Aves; Passeriformes; Passeridae.